This 765-nucleotide ribosomal RNA is filed under the name uncultured Enterobacteriaceae bacterium. RNAcentral's name for it is "bacterial SSU rRNA". It matches the Rfam family "Bacterial small subunit ribosomal RNA", at positions 735 to 1502 of the family's 1533-position model. The record is from RNAcentral. Lineage: Bacteria; Pseudomonadati; Pseudomonadota; Gammaproteobacteria; Enterobacterales; Enterobacteriaceae.
CAGUACUGACGCUGAGAUGCGAAGCGUGGGGAGCAAACAGGAUUAGAUACCUGGUAGUCCACGCUGUAAACGAUGUCGAUUUGGAGUUUGUUGCCUAGAGUGAUGGGCUCCGAAGCUAACGCGAUAAAUCGACCGCCUGGGGAGUACGGCCGCAAGGUUAAAACUCAAAUGAAUUGACGGGGGCCCGCACAAGCGGUGGAGCAUGUGGUUUAAUUCGAUGCAACGCGAAGAACCUUACCUGGUCUUGACAUCCAUAGAAUUCUGCAGAGAUGUGGGAGUGCCUUCGGGAACUAUGAGACAGGUGCUGCAUGGCUGUCGUCAGCUCGUGUUGUGAAAUGUUGGGUUAAGUCCCGCAACGAGCGCAACCCUUAUUCUUUGUUGCCAGCGAUUUGGUCGGGAACUCAAAGGAGACUGCCGUUGAUAAAGCGGAGGAAGGUGGGGACGACGUCAAGUCAUCAUGGCCCUUACGACCAGGGCUACACACGUGCUACAAUGGCGUAUACAAAGGGAAGCGAAGGUGCGAGCUGGAGCGGAUCUCAUAAAGUACGUCUAAGUUCGGAUUGGAGUCUGCAACUCGACUCCAUGAAGUCGGAAUCGCUAGUAAUCGUAGAUCAGAAUGCUACGGUGAAUACGUUCCCGGGCCUUGUACACACCGCCCGUCACACCAUGGGAGUGGGUUGCACCAGAAGUAGAUAGCUUAACCGCGAGGGGGGCGUUUACCACGGUGUGAUUCAUGACUGGGGUGAAGUCGUAACAAGGUAACCA